Molecule: unclassified non-coding RNA, 421 nt
Filed under: Hevea brasiliensis (rubber tree)
Lineage: Eukaryota; Viridiplantae; Streptophyta; Magnoliopsida; Malpighiales; Euphorbiaceae
Source: RNAcentral
AAAUUGACAUAUAACACCAAAUUAAUGGGAAUAUGCAAUUGAUUGAGAGAAGUUGAGUGCCGGAAAAUUUUGUGCACGUUGCAUAAUGUCCGAGUAUCGACUAGACAAAAAACUUCUGAUUAUGCAUCCAUAAACUGUUAAUAUUAACAUUCAAGCCAUUUUCUUAAGGUAUAAUUUUAGUUUCAAUUUCACUUCCCUCCUCUCCUAAUAAGCAUCUAACAAAUAAGAGAGAAAUCUUCUUUUCCCUUGUGAUAUCCUUUUCUAUUCCCUUCCAACUUAUGGAUCACAUGCCUAUCAGUGUUCAGUCUACAUGGUUCACAUUUUGUCUUGUGUCUAUUAUUUGAUAAAUGAAUCAAACUGAAUUACAUAGCCAUCGAACCAUUUAGUUCAGUUCGUUAUGGUCAGUUAAAGAAGCGAGAAU